This is a long non-coding RNA of Syngnathoides biaculeatus (alligator pipefish), 355 nucleotides long. RefSeq lists it as uncharacterized. The transcript is spliced from 2 exons. Lineage: Eukaryota; Metazoa; Chordata; Actinopteri; Syngnathiformes; Syngnathidae. The record is from RefSeq and is a predicted model, not a curated record.
AGUACUCGGUGGUGUCACACCACUGUUAAAACACGAAGAAGGUUUGUUUUUGUUUUUAUUUUUCUUUUUUUUUUUUUUUUUUGGUCUUGUUUUUUCAUCUUAAUUUUCACUCCACUUCCUUGUUGUGAAGAAAGCGUGAAGCGGUGCAUGCUGGGAUACAACAUGUCUCCUGUGGCUGUGGGUUCUUGCUAACCUCCGGAGCGUCACCGCGAAUACAUUCAGACGCGUGCACGUUGUAGCCUUGUCAAUGUGUCUUGGAUAAUAAACGAUACAGCACUGUUGCCAUGUCAACAAAAACGGAAUCCAGAGUGUCCAGUUCCAGUUCCAGCUCCAGGAUGGAUGACAAGAGCAGAGG